AAGGAUGGGUCUGCGGCCUAUCAGGGUAGUAGUGGGUGUAAUGUACCUACUAGCCUACGACGGGUACGGGUUGUGAGAGCAAGAGCCCGGAGAUGGAUUCUGAGACACGAAUCCAGGCCCUACGGGGUGCAGCAGGCGCGAAAACUUUACAAUGCUGGCAACAGCGAUAUGGGGACCUCGAGUGCCAGGAUACAAUCCUGGCUGUCGUAAUGCCUAAAAAGCAUUGCAUAGCAAGGGCCGGGCAAGACCGGUGCCAGCCGCCGCGGUAACACCGGCGGCUCGAGUGGUAACCGCUAUUAUUGGGUCUAAAGGGUCUGUAGCCGGCUGACUAAGUCUCUUGGGAAAUCUGGCAGCUCAACUGUCAGGCUUUCAGGAGAUACUGAUCGGCUCGAGACCGGGAGAGGUGAGAGGUACCUCAGGGGUAGGGGUGAAAUCUUGUAAUCCUUGAGGGACCACCAGUGGCGAAGGCGUCUCACCAGAACGGAUCUGACGGCAAGGGACGAAAGCUAGAGGCACGAACCGGAUUAGAUACCCGGGUAGUCCUAGCCGUAAACGAUACUCGCUAGGUGUCGGCCACGGUGCGACCGUGGUCGGUGCCGUAGGGAAGCCGUGAAGCGAGCCACCUGGGAAGUACGGCCGCAAGGCUGAAACUUAAAGGAAUUGGCGGGGGAGCACUACAACGGGUGGAGCUUGCGGUUUAAUUGGAUUCAACGCCGGAAAUCUCACCGGGACCGGCAGCGAUAUGAAGGCCAGGCUGAAGACCUUGCCGGAUUAGCUGAGAGGUGGUGCAUGGCCGUCGUCAGUUCGUACUGUGAAGCAUCCUGUUAAGUCAGGCAACGAGCGAGACCCACGCCCACAGUUGCCAGCGUACUCUCAGGAGUGACGGGUACACUGUGGGGACCGCCGCUGCUAAAGCGGAGGAAGGAAUGGGCAACGGUAGGUCAGUAUGCCCCGAAUAUCCCGGGCUACACGCGAGCUACAAUGGUUGGUACAUGGGUAUCUACCCCGAAAGGGGAUGGAAAUCUCCUAACGCCAAUCUUAGUUCGGAUCGAGGGCUGCAACUCGCCCUCGUGAAGCUGGAAUCCGUAGUAAUCGCACAUCAACAGUGUGCGGUGAAUACGUCCCUGCUCCUUGCUCACACCGCCCGUCAAACCACUCGAGUAGGGUCUGAAUGAGGGCGCGUCUCAUUGACGCGUCCGAAUUCAAGCUUUGCAA
This 1215-nucleotide ribosomal RNA is filed under the name metagenome. Its description in RNAcentral is "bacterial SSU rRNA". It matches the Rfam family "Archaeal small subunit ribosomal RNA", at positions 205 to 1421 of the family's 1478-position model. The record is from RNAcentral.